Molecule: ribosomal RNA, 467 nt
Filed under: uncultured bacterium
Lineage: Bacteria
Description: partial 16S ribosomal RNA
Rfam family: Bacterial small subunit ribosomal RNA
Source: RNAcentral
GACGAACGCUGGCGGCGUGCUUAACACAUGCAAGUCGAACGGAAAGGCCCUGCUUUUGUGGGGUGCUCGAGUGGCGAACGGGUGAGUAACACGUGAGUAACCUGCCCUUGACUUUGGGAUAACUUCAGGAAACUGGGGCUAAUACCGGAUAGGAGCUCCUGCUGCAUGGUGGGGGUUGGAAAGUUUCGGCGGUUGGGGAUGGACUCGCGGCUUAUCAGCUUGUUGGUGGGGUAGUGGCUUACCAAGGCUUUGACGGGUAGCCGGCCUGAGAGGGUGACCGGCCACAUUGGGACUGAGAUACGGCCCAGACUCCUACGGGAGGCAGCAGUGGGGAAUAUUGCACAAUGGGCGGAAGCCUGAUGCAGCAACGCCGCGUGCGGGAGGACGGCCUUCGGGUUGUAAACCGCUUUCGCCUGUGACGAAGCGUGAGGGACGGUAAUGGGUAAAGAAACACCGGCUAACUACGU